AUAACGGUCCUAAGGUAGCGAAAUUCCUUGUCAGGUAAGUUCUGACCCGCACGAAUGGCGUAACGACUUGAGAGCUGUCUCAACAACAUACCCGGCGAAAUUGAAGUACUGGUAAAGAUGCCAGUUACCCGUGAUAAGACGGAAAGACCCCAUGGAGCUUUACUGUAACUUGAUAUUGAAUUUUUGUAUUACAUGUACAGGAUAGGUGGGAGACAGAGAACUAAUGCCGCCAGGUGUUAGGGAGUCGAUGUUGGGAUACCACUCUUGUAAUAUGAAGGUUCUAACCUGCACCCGUGAAUCCGGGUGGGGGACACUGUCAGGUGGACAGUUUGACUGGGGCGGUCGCCUCCUAAAAGGUAACGGAGGCGUUCAAAGGUUGGUUCAGCACGGACGGAAAUCGUGCAACGAGUGCAAACGCAUAAACCAGCCUAACUGCGAGACCGACAAGUCGAGCAGUAACGAAAGUUGGAGUUAGUGAUCCGGCGGUAUGAGAGUGGAAUUGCCGUCGCUCAACGGAUAAAAGCUACCCUGGGGAUAACAGGCUGAUCUCCCCCAAGAGUCCACAUCGACGGGGAGGUUUGGCACCUCGAUGUCGGCUCAUCGCAUCCUGGAGCUGAAGUCGGUCCCAAGGGUUGGGCUGUUCGCCCAUUAAAGCGGUACGCGAGCUGGGUUCAGAACGUCGCGAGACAGUUCGGUCCCUAUCUAUCACGGGCGUAGGAAAUUUGAGGAGAGCUGACCUUAGUACGAGAGGACCGGGUUGGACGUACCGCUGGUGCACCUGUUGUUCUGCCAAGGGCAUAGCAGGGUAGCUAAGUACGGACGGGAUAAACGCUGAAGGCAUCUAAGCGUGAAGCCCCCUUCGAGAUAAGAUUUCCCAUAGCGUAGGCUAGUAAGGACCCAUGAAGACUACAUGGUUGAUAGGCCGGAGGUGGAAGUGCAGUAAUGUAUGUAGCUGACCGGUACUAAUAGUCCGAGGGCUUGACCAA
RNAcentral lists this ribosomal RNA (986 nucleotides) under human gut metagenome. RNAcentral's name for it is "bacterial LSU rRNA". It matches the Rfam family "Bacterial large subunit ribosomal RNA", at positions 1942 to 2925 of the family's 2925-position model. The record is from RNAcentral.